UUUUCCGGUGUCAUGGCGGACUUAGAGACAGACUUUUGCUAGAUUUUCAAAAUUUGUUUACUUUACGUUUGUUAUGUAAUAUAUUGUAUUAAACCGCAGUAAAAUAUUCACAAAACAAUAAAGAUGCCCGUAUAUUUGCGAAAGAAUGUUAGCUAUACGCCUCCUUCGCUGGACAAAAUUCCAGCCGAAGUUGAGGAUGAUUUUAUGAAUGAUCCAGACCUUCAAACCGACUCAUUGCCACAACCAUAUCGCAUGAUUGACAAAACCUUGAGGGGUCUGUUAGAUGAAACAUGGGACGUUAUUGCAGAACGUGAGGCAGAGCGUGUUGCUGAAGCAAAUAAGGUUCGCCCACCACAAUAUGUGUCAUCAGUGCAACUGGAUACAGUGGUUCCAAACACUCAGCAUCCAGAAAAACAGAAACUGUGCUACGCAACAUGCAUGUGCAGUUCAGAAGAUGGUCAAUACAUCUUUAUCGGUUUGCCCUGUGGAUUUGUGGCCAUAGAGGCAGUCAAUCACGCAAUUGUGGCAUCAUGGGAGGAGGAAGGGGCCGAGUUCAGUUUUAUAAAGUCGUACUUAUUGGCUCCACAGUGCCACCUUGUAACGGCCAUUGAUGAUAUGGGAAUUGGAAGAUUAUUUGCAGUUACAUACAACAAGAUAUUUCUUAUCAAGGUUUUAAACCCACAUUCACAGGAUUCUGAUAGCAAAAUACUCAUGAGCAAGAUAGACGCCUCAAACUCGGGGGACUACGUCGGCACAGUAAUGGAAGUUGGUGGUGGUCAGGACAUAUGGCUGGAAAUCUACAAGCUACCUAGGGACACAUGGGUUACUGACCUAGAAACCAUAGUUACAGCCUUGAAAAAGAAGGAAGAGAAGGAAAAAAGAGACGAGGCUACUUCUGAGGAGACUGAAUCAAUUGCCCCAUCAGAACAUGCUCCAAGUAAGGCAGACACAGACGAACCAAGCGUUGUGUCCAUGCCACCGCAAGACACUACUGAUCAGUUGCAACAGAGUUCACGUCCAGCUAGUGCUACCUCUAAACUCGACUCAGAUCGAUCUGCACAAGCGGGCGACGUGAAUUUAGAUCAAAUCCGGGAGUCAGACCCAUUGUCUGGGGAAUACAAGUUUGGGGCACCACAGCUGAUAAUGAAAGUGAAACCACCCCCUCAGUUAAUUCCAGCGGUGUCGGUAUCAAAUCUUCACGGCUCCUGUCAGAAGGUGGAGCCUGGCGAUGUGGUUGCUACGGGAACCAACGUGCUGUUCACUCAGAACCACCUGGAUCUGCGAAAGUCUGUGUUCACGCAUCUCCAUGACAACCUGGCCAAGUACCAGACAGAGGAUGAUGAGGGCGUAACUGCACAGCAACAUCCUAAUUUCCACUUCAUGGGGACUGGGAGAAUGUUGCCCCUGGGCCUUGAACAAGCCAGCCUUGAGGGGCGGUCAACAUGUGUAGCAGUAUGGUGGCCAGGGUCGACUAAUUUCAUGCAGUACUCACUGAUUAAGACAUCCAAAGAUAUUGAGUUCAAAGCAGACCUGGUUUGGCCUUUCACCAAUAGGAUCACAUGCUCUGCAGUGUCUCCAGAUACAAACAUUCUGGCGGUGGGCUUGGAAAAUGGAAAUGUUGUCAUCUGGGACCGCUAUAUGGGCUGCCAGCGGGGUGUUGUUAACGUCAAUGAGACAUCCCCCGUUGUCAAGCUGAUGUUCCUUGACCCCGCCCUGUACCCUCAGGACAUGGGAGAUUAUCCCCCCUACAAGCAGGCAACUGGCACAUACGUUCUAGCCAUGUGUGCUAACAGCGCACUCUAUACCAUAUCUACGGGAGCGAAUAUUCCACUUCAAGUCAACACUAUUUUGAUGCCAGUGGAGAAAGAUGAUGACACAAUAACAGUGCUGCAGCCAUUUGUGAAGCAUCCUGAUUUGUUGUUGACGGUGACUCGUCGUGGCGACAUCCAGAUUCGUGACUGUCUCCAGGGCAACAUCGUCUGCCAGGUGCAGGUGCCAGACACCCAUGAGAUCACGUCACCGUGGGAACCAGUGCUGUCUUUAGGAGGGCUGGGUCAGAGCAUGUAUGUCAAAGCAACAAAGAAGAUGUCAGAAGACACUAGUGAGAUAGACGGGAACUCGUCGCUGCAGGACGGUCUGGUGUUUGUGUACGCGCUGCGCUCAUUCCCCUCUCUAGACGAGUUCUGGAAGAUACAGCGCUCCCCUCAACCCCUCACAGUGCAUGUCACAGUGAAACAAAGAUCAGAGGCACUGCUGGCUAACAGAUUGGCCCAGGCAGGUGCCCGCAAGAUACUGAUGCAGGAGCGCUGGUCAAAGAUGAAAGAUGAGAUUAACAACCUCCACCAGCUCAAAGAGGUCGCUAGGCUCAACGCUGCCAAACGGACGCUAGUGCGUUUCCAAUCUAUUCCCUACCCCCAUUAUGAGUGGGCGGAGUCUAAACUUUGCAGGUGCGCGUGACGUCACUCGUCAACUGGUCUAUAGAAUCUCUGCCUCUCCCAUAGCAAUGGAAACUGAAAGACUCCUGGGUCCGUUGGCCUGCCUGUGAAACCGUUUGCCUGACAAAAGACUGCAGUCCUUCGAGAUCAUUAUCAACAAACAAAUGCUGUGAUCUAUUACUGUGAUAGGAACUUUUGUACUGAAAAUCUGAAAAAUUAUUCCUUUUUAAGCAAAGAUAUUUAUGCAUUUUGACUAGGAUUAUGUAUAAAUAUAAAUAUGAAUAAAUUUACUACAAAGAAAAAUUGUAGUUCACACAUUGUAUUGUAUUGAAAAGAUAGCAUGCACACUUUUGUCAUGUUAUAUCAGAAAAUGUUUUUGAAGUUAAGUUUAUAAUUGUUCUUUCACAAGCUUUUACUUAUUUGAAACAUUUUUUUGAAUAUAUACUCUUGAGCUAUCCCCUGGGAAAACUGGGCUUAAUGCAUGAUCGUAAAGUAAUAUCCCAUAUUAGAGUGGUAUGCAUAGGUCGAUCAGGGGCUCCACUUUCCGCUUUUAUGGAAUGUGUGUUUAAAGGAAGCAUCUUAUAAAUGAAGAUCAAGCCUAGGCAGAAAGUUUCCUCCCACAUUUGCCUUUUGCUGACUGCACAGGCUAAUCACGGACAAUACUUUAUUCAUAUUACAUGCAUUUAGCCCAGUUUUACCAGAGACAGGCACAUUCAAAUAAACUGCCACUGCCAACUAUCCAUGGGCCCAUCUGUUAGUGAUGAUACAAUUUAUCAACCUCCGCGCAGUGAUUUGACGGGAACCAGCAUAGCUGGUAUGUGAGAGCAAGGAACGACAACUCUGCAUGGAGAUUGACAAUUUAUAUGUACAAUAAUUAUGCACCAAUCAUAAUAAUCAGUCAAGUUCUGUAAGUUCCUCUUUUAAUUGUCCUUUAUUUUAAAAACUUAAUGAUUAUUUGUUAAUUUGAACUAAAAACAGUCAAGACUAUAUAAGUUGAUGUAAGACAGAUGAUAAAACAGGGUCCAGUGCCUGUAUUCAUCAACCAAUUCUAAGACUGAGUCACAGAAUAAAGCACAUUCUUUAAACUGUAAUGCUAAAAUAGCUAUAUAUUGUCAGUCAAACUUGGUAUUCAGCAACUCAGAUUAAAGUACUUUUUUCAGAAAAAUGGUCAAAUCAUAUGAGAAACAUUCACCAGGCAGCUAGUAUUACAUGUAUUCAAGAAAUCUCACCUAUGUCAUAGUGUACUGGUAUUCAUUAUUCUCAUGUCUAA
This is an RNA transcript of Dreissena polymorpha, 3705 nucleotides long. It is a transcript of the gene named WD repeat-containing protein 93-like, with no coding region annotated. The record is from RefSeq and is a predicted model, not a curated record. NCBI's taxonomy places the organism in Eukaryota, Metazoa, Mollusca, Bivalvia, Myida, Dreissenidae. The transcript has 21 exons.